Molecule: microRNA, 22 nt
Filed under: Sus scrofa (pig)
Lineage: Eukaryota; Metazoa; Chordata; Mammalia; Artiodactyla; Suidae
Description: ssc-mir43
Source: RNAcentral
UAUGCCACAGCAGUGACAAUGC